GAUAAACGCUGGCGGCGUGCCUAACACAUGCAAGUCGAACGGAGUCCAGCCUUUAAGACCUUCGGGUCAAAGAGGGGAAGACUGAGUGGCGGACGGGUGAGUAACACGUGGGCAACCUGGCUCAUAGAGGGGGAUAACAGAGAGAAAUUUCUGCUAAUACCGCAUAAGCACACACUGCCGCAUGGCAGAGGGUGAAAAGAGAAUCGCUAUGAGAUGGACCCGCGUCUGAUUAGCCAGUUGGCAGGGUAAGAGCCUACCAAAGCGACGAUCAGUAGCCGAUCUGAGAGGAUGAACGGCCACAUUGGGACUGAGACACGGCCCAAACUCCUACGGGAGGCAGCAGUGGGGGAUAUUGCACAAUGGGGGGAACCCUGAUGCAGCGACGCCGCGUAAGUGAAGAAGUAUUUCGGUAUGUAAAGCUCUAUCAGCAGGGAAGAUAAUGACAGUACCUGAAUAAGAAGCCCCGGCUAACUACGUG
This 478-nucleotide ribosomal RNA is filed under the name uncultured bacterium. Its description in RNAcentral is "partial 16S ribosomal RNA". It matches the Rfam family "Bacterial small subunit ribosomal RNA", at positions 28 to 507 of the family's 1533-position model. The record is from RNAcentral.